This 73-nucleotide transfer RNA is filed under the name Deferrivibrio metallireducens. RNAcentral describes it as "Deferribacteraceae bacterium V6Fe1 tRNA-Phe". It matches the Rfam family "tRNA". From Rfam's summary of the family: Transfer RNA (tRNA) molecules are approximately 80 nucleotides in length. Their secondary structure includes four short double-helical elements and three loops (D, anti-codon, and T loops). Lineage: Bacteria; Pseudomonadati; Deferribacterota; Deferribacteres; Deferribacterales; Deferrivibrionaceae. The record is from RNAcentral. RNAcentral also lists the same sequence under 1 other name.
GCCCAGGUAGCUCAGUCGGCAGAGCAGAGGACUGAAAAUCCUCGUGUCGGUGGUUCGAUUCCGCCCCUGGGCA